Long non-coding RNA from Lolium rigidum, 251 nucleotides. RefSeq lists it as uncharacterized. The transcript is spliced from 3 exons. The record is from RefSeq and is a predicted model, not a curated record. Lineage: Eukaryota; Viridiplantae; Streptophyta; Magnoliopsida; Poales; Poaceae.
GAUUUCUCGGGCGUCGGCGCUGUGUUCCCAGCGGACUGUGACGAGCACCAGGUUACAAGCUUUGACCGCAAUCACUAGUCUUGAAGAUUGAUAUUCUUCAAUUCUACUCCAAAACUGCAAGGCGUAAUCAGCAGCGAUAUCUCCCUCGUCGAAGAACCAUAUCGAUCUACUGUGCUACUGAGCGAGGAAGAAGGAGCGAUGAUGAGGGCGCGUGGACCUGGAGGUACUAGUCGACGCUCUCUUGGGUGGGU